AGCGAACGCUGGCGGCAGGCUUAACACAUGCAAGUCGAGCGGGCAUAGCAAUAUGUCAGCGGCAGACGGGUGAGUAACGCGUGGGAACGUAGCUUUUGGUUCGGAACAACACAGGGAAACUUGUGCUAAUACCGGAUAAGCCCUUACGGGGAAAGAUUUAUCGCCGAAAGAUCGGCCCGCGUCUGAUUAGCUAGUUGGUGAGGUAAUGGCUCACCAAGGCGAUGAUCAGUAGCUGGUCUGAGAGGAUGAUCAGCCACAUUGGGACUGAGACACGGCCCAAACUCCUACGGGAGGCAGCAGUGGGGAAUAUUGGACAAUGGGCGCAAGCCUGAUCCAGCCAUGCCGCGUGAGUGAUGAAGGCCCUAGGGUUGUAAAGCUCUUUUGUGCGGGAAGAUAAUGACGGUACCGCAAGAAUAAGCCCCGGCUAACUUCGUGCCAGCCGCCGCGGUAA
Molecule: ribosomal RNA, 451 nt
Filed under: uncultured bacterium
Lineage: Bacteria
Description: partial 16S ribosomal RNA
Rfam family: Bacterial small subunit ribosomal RNA
Source: RNAcentral